AACGAACGCUGGCGGCAUGCCUAACACAUGCAAGUCGAACGAGACCUUCGGGCCUAGUGGCGCACGGGUGCGUAACGCGUGGGAACCUGCCCUUAGGUUCGGCAUAACUCCCCGAAAGGGGUGCUAAUACCGGAUAAUGUCUUCGGACCAAAGAUUUAUCGCCUUUGGAUGGGCCCGCGUUGGAUUAGCUAGUUGGUAGGGUAAAAGCCUACCAAGGCGACGAUCCAUAGCUGGUCUGGGAGGAUGAUCAGCCACACUGGGACUGAGACACGGCCCAGACUCCUACGGGAGGCAGCAGUGGGGAAUAUUGGACAGUGGGCGAAAGCCUGAUCCAGCAAUGCCGCGUGAGUGAUGAAGGCCUUAGGGUUGUAAAGCUCUUUUACCCGGGAUGAUAAUGACAGUACCGGGAGAAUAAGCUCCGGCUAACUCCGUG
RNAcentral lists this ribosomal RNA (433 nucleotides) under uncultured bacterium. RNAcentral describes it as "partial 16S ribosomal RNA". It matches the Rfam family "Bacterial small subunit ribosomal RNA", at positions 29 to 507 of the family's 1533-position model. The record is from RNAcentral.